UCUGCCUUAUCGGCAAGCGGUCCCAUUAGAGUGCCCAACUUAAUGCUGGCAACUAAUGGCAAGGGUUGCGCUCGUUGCGGGACUUAACCCAACAUCUCACGACACGAGCUGACGACAGCCAUGCAGCACCUGUGUCCAGGUUCCCUUUCGGGCACCCCUCCAUCUCUGGAGGGUUCCUGGCAUGUCAAGGGUAGGUAAGGUUUUUCGCGUUGCAUCGAAUUAAUCCACAUCAUCCACCGCUUGUGCGGGUCCCCGUCAAUUCCUUUGUGUUUUAGCCUUGCGGCCGUACUCCCCAGGCGGGGUGCUUAAUGCGUUAGCUUCGGCACGGAACGGGUUGAUACGCCCCACACCUAGCACCCAUCGUUUACGGCUGGGACUAC
RNAcentral lists this unclassified non-coding RNA (380 nucleotides) under uncultured bacterium. Its description in RNAcentral is "contains 16S-23S intergenic spacer region". The record is from RNAcentral.